This 461-nucleotide unclassified non-coding RNA is filed under the name uncultured Glomus. RNAcentral's name for it is "SSU rRNA". It matches the Rfam family "Eukaryotic small subunit ribosomal RNA", at positions 569 to 1037 of the family's 1831-position model. Lineage: Eukaryota; Fungi; Glomeromycota; Glomeromycetes; Glomerales; Glomeraceae. The record is from RNAcentral.
CGCAGCCGCGGUAAUUCCAGCUCCAAUAGCGUAUAUUAAAGUUGUUGCAGUUAAAAAGCUCGUAGUUGAAUUUCGAGAUCAAUUUGUUGGUCGUGCCUCGGUACGUACUGGCAAUUUUGGUUUCUCCCUUCUGAAGAACCAUGAUGUCAUUAAUUUGGUGUCAUGGGGAAUCAGGACUGUUACUUUGAAAAAUUGAGUGUUUAAAGCAGGCUCGCGCUUGAAUACAUUAGCAUGGAAUAAUGAAAUAGGACGUUUGAUUCUAUUUUGUUGGUUUCUAGGAUCGACGUAAUGAUUAAUAGGGAUAGUUGGGGGCAUUAGUAUUCAAUUGUCAGAGGUGAAAUUCUUGGAUUUAUUGAAGACUAACUACUGACGAAAGCAUUUGCCAGGGAUGUUUUCAUUAAUCAAGAACGAAAGUUAGGGGAUCGAAGACGAUCAGAUACCGUGUAGUCUUAACCAUAAAC